This 207-nucleotide ribosomal RNA is filed under the name uncultured bacterium. RNAcentral describes it as "partial 16S ribosomal RNA". It matches the Rfam family "Bacterial small subunit ribosomal RNA", at positions 568 to 774 of the family's 1533-position model. The record is from RNAcentral.
CGUGUAGGCGGUCUGAUUAGUCUGAUGUGAAAGCCCUGGGCUCAACCCAGGAAGUGCAUUGGAUACUGUCAGACUUGAAUACGGGAGAGGGUAGUGGAAUUCCUAGUGUAGGAGUGAAAUCCGUAGAUAUUAGGAGGAACACCGGUGGCGAAGGCGGCUACCUGGACCGAUAUCGACGCUGAGACGCGAAAGCGUGGGUAGCAAACA